This 734-nucleotide long non-coding RNA is filed under the name Equus asinus (donkey). RNAcentral's name for it is "lncRNA (ENSEASG00005028464.1)". Lineage: Eukaryota; Metazoa; Chordata; Mammalia; Perissodactyla; Equidae. The record is from RNAcentral.
GUUAUCUGGUUAACUAGUUUCCCUGAGAGCAGGCCUUGUUAAGAACAGAGUGCUCUGGUAUAUUUCAAAUGGCUCCUUUUCCCCUCCCCCUCGGAAGCCCAAGGGGAUUCUGCUCAGAUAUUUACUGUGAGAACUCCACCAAGUUCUUGGAGGUAAAACUCACAUAAGUUUGGGGCCCUCCCUAAGACUUGGUCCCCCUGAAGUUUUUAACUUUCAGACUUGUCCACAUUGAGUCUUCUUUAAUUCAUUAAUCACAGUGCAGGUUUUCCUCCCCCUGCACUGGUUCCCACAGCAGUAUCCACUGAAGACUGCUCAGCUCCUGGUAACUGUUACUGAGCCCUAAAGGACCGGUGAACCGCAAGUGGGUCCUGUUGCCCAGAGCUGCUCGCGCCAGUAGGAGAGCGGGUUCAAGCAGCAGAGCGGAAACUUUAUUCGUUGAUCAAUGAAUGGAGGAGGCAGAGCUCAUGCUCUAAAAACACCUUCUCCUCAAAGGGAAGUUGGGUCAGAAAUAUGAUUUUGGGGCCGGCCCUGUGGUCAAAUGCUUAAGUUCGCGUGCUCAGCUUCAGCAGCCUGGGGUUUGCCAGUUCGGAUCUUGGGUGCGGACCUACACACUGCUCAUCGAGUCAUGCUGUGGAGGCAUCCCACACAGAAGAACUAGAAUGACUUCCAACUUGGCUAUACAACCAUGUACUGGGACUUUAGGGAGGGAAAAAAAAGAAAUAUGAUUUUUUUAA